Long non-coding RNA from Oncorhynchus tshawytscha (Chinook salmon), 400 nucleotides. The record is from Ensembl. Lineage: Eukaryota; Metazoa; Chordata; Actinopteri; Salmoniformes; Salmonidae.
UAUACAAGGUGUUACGGUACAGAGUCAAUGUGGAGGCUAUAUACAGGGUGUUACGGUACAGAGUCAAUGUGGAGGCUAUAUACAGGGGGUACUGGUACAGAGUCAAUGUGGAGGCUAUAUACAGGGUGUUACGGUACAGAGUCAAUGUGGAGGCUAUAUACAGGUGGUACCAGUACAGAGUCAAUGUGGAGGCUAUAUACAGGUGGUACCAGUACAGAGUCAAUGUGGGGUCUAUAUACAGGUGGUACCAGUACAGAGUCAAUGUGGAGGCUAUAUACAGGGGGUACUGGUACAGAGUCAAUGUGGAGGCUAUAUACAGGGUGUUACGGUACAGAGUCAAUGUGGAGGCUAUAUACAGGGUGUUACGGAACAGAGUCAAUGUGGAGGCUAUAUACAGGGG